This 107-nucleotide small nucleolar RNA is filed under the name Gossypium hirsutum (cotton). RNAcentral describes it as "Plant small nucleolar RNA R71". It matches the Rfam family "Plant small nucleolar RNA R71". Rfam says of the family: R71 is a member of the C/D box family of snoRNAs containing the C (UGAUGA) and D (CUGA) box motifs. Multiple nearly identical copies of this snoRNA have been identified in Arabidopsis, and it is thought to function as a 2'-O-ribose methylation guide for 18S ribosomal RNA. Lineage: Eukaryota; Viridiplantae; Streptophyta; Magnoliopsida; Malvales; Malvaceae. The record is from Rfam by way of RNAcentral.
AACCCAUGGUGAGGGCAUCGUCUCAAGAGAUCCUUGUAUCUCUCUCAUGAAUCGUAGAGUGUCUCUAAAUCCAUCGACACAAAAGAAGAGAUAUCAUUACGUAACUU